Molecule: ribosomal RNA, 542 nt
Filed under: uncultured bacterium
Lineage: Bacteria
Description: bacterial SSU rRNA
Rfam family: Bacterial small subunit ribosomal RNA
Source: RNAcentral
UGAGGAAUAUUGGUCAAUGGGCGAGAGCCUGAACCAGCCAAGUAGCGUGCGGGAUGAAGGCCCUUGUGGUCGUAAACCGCUUUUAUCAGUGAAUAAAGUGCAUCACGUGUGGUGUCAUUGCAGGUAGCUGAAGAAAAAGGACCGGCUAAUUCCGUGCCAGCAGCCGCGGUAAUACGGAAGGUCCGGGCGUUAUCCGGAAUUAUUGGGUUUAAAGGGAGCGCAGGCGGGAGUAUAAGUCAGCUGUUAAAUAUCAGGGCCCAACUCUGUUAUGCAGUUGAAACUAUAUUUCUUGAGUACGCACAGGGAUGGCGGAAUUCAGGGUGUAGCGGUGAAAUGCUUAGAUAUCCUGAAGAACUCCGAUCGCGAAGGCAGCCAUCCGGAGCGUAACUGACGCUGAGGCUCGAAGGUGCGGGUAUCGAACAGGAUUAGAUACCCUGGUAGUCCGCACGGUAAACGAUGAAUACUCGCAGUUCGGCCGUUUAGGUCGAGUUGUCCAGCGAAAGCGUUAAGUAUUCCACCUGGGGAGUACGCCGGCAACGGUG